UUCUUCUUCGUCUCGGCUUCUCCAACUGCUGGCCCUCCUUCUGUUGGCUCCUCGCACGCCCCGUCGCCGUGGCCGACGAAUAUGCCCGCCAUAGCCGGCACGGCGGGGAGCUCCCAGAUGGGCCUGAGGCUGCCCAUGAAUUCCACCGCAAGGUGGCCCCUCUCACCGCUGGACGGCAGCCUGAUAUUUUCUAACGGCAACGUCCGCCGUUGGCGACGAACAGGCCCUCCACGGCCGGCGCGCCUCGACCUUCCUGUUGGGGCGGACCCAUGAAUUCCACCGCCGGGGAGGAGAACUGCAGUGAUUCCUCCCUUUUCCCUCUCUUCAUGUGCCAUAUUUUGCUUCUUUUUGAACUCUCGAAGUCUCGAUCUGUUUUGGUUCAAUGAUGUUUUCCUCUAAUUUUGAUUCUACUGAUUAUGGUUUUCCUGUGCUUUUUUAGGUUCAGCUUGGCUGCUGAACGAAAGUUGCAUUGCUGCAAGUACCAUGCAGGCGUAGACAAGGUGAUGUCCGCACAGGCAAAUAUCUUCCAUGAGUUGUAAUGUGUCUCCCUCUCUCCCCUUAUUUCUUUCAUUUGAUUUCAGAGCGCUACAUUGAUUCUCCCCGUAUUUGUGCUGUUUAAACAGGGACACUUUUUUUUUCCAUAUAUGCAUGCUGUGUGUUCGACGAAAUGCCUACUACAAAUACGGUGGGUAAGGAAAAUAGAACAACACACGUUUGAUAACUCAAGUCUGUUGAUAUUCGAAGUAGAUUGCAGAAGCCCUACGUCGUGUUCAUUCUUCUUUGGCAUGGAGAUAUUCUUUUAUAAUGUUUGCCUUGGCAUUCUCUUGAUGAUUUUAUAAUAUACAGCCAAAGCUGAUCUUCUUUAUAUAAUUUGUUCUUUCAUGAGCUUAUCCAUUUAUAUUUUUGUAUUUUAUGAAAGGUCGAUGAGGCUUCUUCUCCAAUUGGGUUUUCUCUUUUUGGCAAAUCAUUAUCUGAAAUAGUCAGCUGCUAUACACAGAUUUUAUAUCAAUCUACCUAGGUAGUUCAUCCAUGGUCUUAUAUCAUUUCUUACUGAAUACAAUACUUGAAACUAGAGUUCUUGGUAGGUAGUUCAUCCAAUAUGGGUGAUGCUGCCCAUGAGCGGGUCUGUUGUCCAUUCAGUGGCUGGUGAUUUAGGUGGAUUGUCUUCGCCUGUUGCAUAUGGUCCUCAGGUUUCUGACCCCACUCAUUCUGAUGCUCCUGCUGUGGUCGAUCUUGCCAUAGCAGUUGAUCCAUUGUUUCACAUUUUGUGCUUUUUCUGCUUUUGAUGUACCUCGGUAUCUGUUUUACUUUUAUUGGUUGUUUUCUGAUUCUUCUUUGUUUUUGGUUUCAAUAUCUUCUACUCCUUUCACAACUUCUCACAUGCCUGUAGCAAAUCGUCGGCGGCGUUUGGAUGUGCGUCUACAUACUGCUUCUGUAGGAGCAGGUUGUGCUUCCGGUUUAUUGAUUAUAGAAUCUGCAAUUUGCUGCAAUGAAAAGACAUUAUCAGAAAGUUAAGAUCUAUGAUGUGAUAUAACUACACUUUGGGACUAUGUACAUCCAAAUAUACUAUGUUCUGGAUCUUUUGAGAUAAACUAGAUAUAACCAUAGUAACACACCAUUCGUACCCAGUUCUAACAGACCAUUGCUAAUUUGGUUUCAUUCCUCAUGUUACUCAUCAGCAUUAGUAUACCAUCAAGGAAAUAUCAUAAGAGCUCACAGUGGUCUAUAUUAGAAGCUCAAAGUAGUGCCGAUUAUUCUAAAUUAGCUAAUGCAGCCCCUUAGAUUUCUUUGUUUUUUGUAUUUUUCCAGUCAAUGUGUUGAAGACCAUCUUCAGGCUGUCCCCUGUACUUCCUGUUCCUAUAUUGCUGUUUACCAUUUUGAUUAGUUUGCUUAGUGAUGAUCCAGCGUCUGUGUGUAAUUUAUUUUUACAACUCUUUGGUGUUCAUAUAUUCAUCAGGCUGCCAAAGAGAAGCUUUAGUACAAUGAGCAUACUGGAAGUAGAA
Molecule: non-coding RNA, 2003 nt
Organism: Lolium perenne
Lineage: Eukaryota; Viridiplantae; Streptophyta; Magnoliopsida; Poales; Poaceae
Source: RefSeq, a predicted model, not a curated record